This 69-nucleotide transfer RNA is filed under the name Ictidomys tridecemlineatus (thirteen-lined ground squirrel). RNAcentral describes it as "Spermophilus tridecemlineatus (thirteen-lined ground squirrel) tRNA". It matches the Rfam family "tRNA". From Rfam's summary of the family: Transfer RNA (tRNA) molecules are approximately 80 nucleotides in length. Their secondary structure includes four short double-helical elements and three loops (D, anti-codon, and T loops). Lineage: Eukaryota; Metazoa; Chordata; Mammalia; Rodentia; Sciuridae. The record is from Rfam by way of RNAcentral.
GGGAUUGUAGCUUAGUGGUAGAGUGCUUGCUUUGCAUGUGUGAGGCCCUGGGUUUGGUCCCCAGCACCA